Molecule: ribosomal RNA, 400 nt
Filed under: bacterium enrichment culture clone ALO1_GLFRUDD03F8ADE
Lineage: Bacteria
Description: bacterial SSU rRNA
Rfam family: Bacterial small subunit ribosomal RNA
Source: RNAcentral
GAGUUUGAUCGUGGCUCAGAUUGAACGCUGGCGGCAUGCCUUACACAUGCAAGUCGAACAGCAGCACGGGAGCUUGCUCCUGGUGGCGAGUGGCGAACGGGUGGGUAAUGCAUCGGAACGUAUCCUGGAGUGGGGGAUAACGUAGCGAAAGUUACGCUAAUACCGCAUAUUCUGUGAGCAGGAAAGCGGGGGACCUUCGGGCCUCGCGCUCUUGGAGCGGCCGAUGUCGGAUUAGCUAGUUGGUGAGGUAAAGGCUCACCAAGGCGACGAUCCGUAGCAGGUCUGAGAGGAUGAUCUGCCACACUGGAACUGAGACACGGUCCAGACUCCUACGGGAGGCAGCAGUGGGAAUUUUGGACAAUGGGGGCAACCCUGAUCCAGCCAUGCCGCGUGAGUGAAG